This is a non-coding RNA of Meleagris gallopavo (turkey), 1069 nucleotides long. NCBI's taxonomy places the organism in Eukaryota, Metazoa, Chordata, Aves, Galliformes, Phasianidae. The record is from RefSeq and is a predicted model, not a curated record.
ACACAGCAGUUGCUAUUUGUUUGCUUUGUAUCGUAAUGAAAAUGUCCUUUAUGCCUGUAACUGACCAGCAGAGACAUUUUCAAGAGCAGCCAGUUUUUUUUUUUUUUUUUAUGCUUUUUAGUUGAAAUGAGGCCCUUCAAAAAGAGUCCUUAUAUCACUGCGUGUUUCUCCUCCUAGCCAGCAAUAACUUCUGACACUUUCUAACAAGUGACUGUAUUCUAUAAGAGUGAAGCCUUUGUGUUUCUGACAGACACUAAGUCAGUAUUUUUUGUGGGAUACAGUGGUUGUACGGUGUGGUACCCUGCAACAGAUCUGUAACAGAAUAUCAUUAAAUCUCAUGUUUCAUAAGGAGAAAACACCUGUGGGAAAUGCCUUAUCCUCACAUGCUUCAGUUUGAGGUAGGAUGUGCUCAUCUUUUCAUAUGAACUAUGGGCAAUCUUUGUCUUUCCCAGAAAUGAACGUCAGUAUCGGGAUCUGUCCCACUGCCUUUCUCUGCUUCCCAUCUCAGAGCGGGGCCUUCACAAGCUGCAGGACAACUUUGAUUGCUUUGCAGACAAGCUCCAAGACCCAUCUGUCUACAGCUGUUUCCAAGCUGUGCUGGUUCGAUUCCGCAGAGCAGUUGGCAAACCUGAGACUAAAGCUUUGGCUGAAGAGCUGGAGCAGAAGCUGUCAGCCUGCCAUAACAAAGGGCUGGAUUCAGCAGAGAUGUGCCAGGAAGGUGAUAAAACUCCAAUGCCAGAACCAGCCAAGCAAAAACCAACAGCAGCAGGCUGCUGCCGCCAGCCCCUGAGCACAGCCAACAGGGAUGAUGAUGAUUUUGUCACACCCCAGCCACAAGCGCUCCGAAACAAUAAACGUGCUCAGAAGUCCCAUCGGCGCAAAAAACCUGUUAUCACCUUCUCCAGUGAUGAAGAGAACAGCUCUGAGAAUGAGCUACUGGCAGAAUUAAGAGAGGAAGAUACCCCCACCAAAACAACUCCCAUCACCAGGUCUUCAACCCGACGGCUGCGCUGAAGGAACCAUCUGCCACUGUCUUUAAAAAUAAAGCUUGAUUUUUUUGCAGCAGUCA